RNAcentral lists this ribosomal RNA (253 nucleotides) under uncultured bacterium. RNAcentral's name for it is "partial 16S ribosomal RNA". It matches the Rfam family "Bacterial small subunit ribosomal RNA", at positions 524 to 776 of the family's 1533-position model. The record is from RNAcentral.
UACGUAGGGGGCAAGCGUUGUCCGGAUUUACUGGGCGUAAAGGGCGCGUAGGCGGCCUUCUAAGUCGAACGUGAAAUCCCCGGGCUCAACCCGGGAACUGCGUCCGGUACUGGAAGGCUUGAAUCCGGGAGAGGGAUGUGGAAUUCCAGGUGUAGCAGUGAAAUGCGUAGAGAUGUGGAGGAACACCGAUGGCGAAGGCAGCCCCCUGGGUCAAGAUUGACGCUCAUGCACGAAAGCGUGGGGAGCAAACAGG